GGAGAGUUGCCGGAGUGGUUGAACGGGACGGUCUCGAAAAUCGUUGUACACUUUUGUGUACCCAGGGUUCGAAUCCCUGACUCUCCGCCA
RNAcentral lists this transfer RNA (90 nucleotides) under Candidatus Cloacimonadota bacterium. RNAcentral's name for it is "tRNA-Ser". It matches the Rfam family "tRNA". From Rfam's summary of the family: Transfer RNA (tRNA) molecules are approximately 80 nucleotides in length. Their secondary structure includes four short double-helical elements and three loops (D, anti-codon, and T loops). Lineage: Bacteria; Pseudomonadati; Candidatus Cloacimonadota. The record is from RNAcentral.